ACAGGAUGAAGAAACCAAAGUGCAGAGAAGUUUCAAAAUUUGCCUAAGGACAUAGCUAAUGAAUAGCAGGGCUAGGAUUAUGAACCGAGAUAUUCUGGGUCCACAGUCCCUGCCUGUAACCACUAUUCAACUCUGCCUUUACUAGGAACAUGGCAAGUUACUCAUAGAAUCCUAAAACUGUUACAGCUCCUUGAACAUCAUCUAAACUAAUUUUACAAAUAAAAAGACUGAGGCCAGAGAGAGGAAGUGAUUGGCUGAAAGUAACCCAGCAGGAUGGCUCUCCAACCCCAGAUCCUGACUUCACCCACCUCUGCGUGAGCAUGUUAGGGUCUGGAGCAUCUCUGCUGGAGACUGGUCCUGCCUAGUGCAGGCCCCCUCUUGAAAAUACACAGAAUUCUGGAUGUUGCAUACAUGGGAAAUUGUGAACAUGGAGCUCAGAGCUCAGCUUGCAAGAAAGAAGGGGAUGUCCCAAUGCCAGAUACAGAGAUAGUUGGAAAUAUGAGUGGGAAACUCCCAAGCAGAUGCCAGGAUAGCUGCAGCUUUUGUGAAUCACUAAAAACAGUCUUCGAGUUAUCUGGAAUUUAUUUUAGUGCAAGAUGUACAAUGAAUCAUACUCAUUUUUGAAAACCAAUUGCC
This 636-nucleotide long non-coding RNA is filed under the name Homo sapiens (human). Its description in RNAcentral is "HSALNT0008084". Lineage: Eukaryota; Metazoa; Chordata; Mammalia; Primates; Hominidae. The record is from RNAcentral.